GAUGAACGCUGGCGGCGUGCCUAAUACAUGCAAGUCGAGCGAACAGACGAGGAGCUUGCUCCUCUGACGUUAGCGGCGGACGGGUGAGUAACACGUGGAUAACCUACCUAUAAGACUGGGAUAACUUCGGGAAACCGGAGCUAAUACCGGAUAAUAUAUUGAACCGCAUGGUUCAAUAGUGAAAUACGGUUUUGCUGUCACUUAUAGAUGGAUCCGCGCCGCAUUAGCUAGUUGGUAAGGUAACGGCUUACCAAGGCAACGAUGCGUAGCCGACCUGAGAGGGUGAUCGGCCACACUGGAGCUGAGACACGGUCCAGACUCCUACGGUAGGCAGCAGUAGGGAAUCUUCCGCAAUGGGCGAAAGCUUGACGGAGCAACGCCGCGUGAGUGAUGAAGGUCUUCGGAUCGUAAAACUCUGCUAUUAGGGAAGAACAAAUGUGUAAGUAACUAUGCACGUCUUGACGGUACCUAAUCAGAAAGCAACGGCUAACUACGUG
This 497-nucleotide ribosomal RNA is filed under the name uncultured bacterium. RNAcentral describes it as "partial 16S ribosomal RNA". It matches the Rfam family "Bacterial small subunit ribosomal RNA", at positions 28 to 507 of the family's 1533-position model. The record is from RNAcentral.